UCGUAUCUCCAGGGCGCAACGGGAACUUAUCGUCCAUUGAUACUGCACGCGAGUUUCGCUCAUUCGCGUGUCGUUAGCGGCAGUUAAAUAAUCGAAGUGGAUUAUCGUAUAGGACCUGCAGGUCGAGCUAAACAUGGCAGAGUUACUGAAUUGGCGUGCGAAGUCGUCUAUGUCGCCAUCUAUGUCGCCAAUGAUCAAUGAAGAGGGAAGAAAAAUCAUUUUUACACCUUGAACAGCAAGGCAUCAGGUAUUCUUUUUUAUCGAGCAAAAUAAAAUGAUGUAAAUUAAAUUUUUAAUACAUCUUUACGUUGUUUUCUUGACAUAAAUUACAACUUUAUACGUUAAGAUAAUAUUAUAAACUUUAAAAAGUGUUAAGGACUAAGUUAUUAAUUAUUUACGAUUACCAAUGUUUGAAUGAAUUUAUCUAUCAAUCUAAGAUUUAAUUUUUUUCGGAGCAAAAUUAACUGUUACAUGAGGUUUGGUAGAAAAAUAUUGAUUGCCGGUAAAGUAGAUCGCAUCUAAUACUUUUAAAAAAUAUGCAUGAAGAAACUUUUUAAACAAUUUUUUAUUGAUAUUAUUAAAUCUUUGUAAUAAUUAAUAAAUCUGGUUGUAUUUGAUAAGUAAGAAAAUAUUAAAUUACACGAAUAUAAAAUAAUAAAAAUAAUGCAUCUUACAAAAAUGGGGAUUAAGGUUUCAAAUAAGUAGAUCUUGCUUUUGGUCACAAAGAUUCCGAUUUAUUCUUAGGAUUUAUAAUAAAGAUUUACGCCGUACAAAUCGCAGCCUUCAUGAUGGAAAUUGAGAUGGUUUACUGGAAUAAAAAAAGGUGUUUUGCCAAAUUUCAAAAAUGUCAUGGAUGAUAAAAAAUUUUGAAAACAAAUAACCGCAACCAUGAGUAUGUAAAAAAUAUAUAACAUGAAGAAAUGUAAUGAUACAUUGAUUAAAACAUGCUUAGAGUAAAAGUUACCUUUGAAAAUGAUGAAAUGAAAUAUGUACGAUUGGAGCACAUAAAUUAUAUAAAGCCAUGAUGAAAAUGUUUACAAUAAAAAAAAAAAAAAAAAA
This is a long non-coding RNA of Nasonia vitripennis (jewel wasp), 1059 nucleotides long. RefSeq lists it as uncharacterized. NCBI's taxonomy places the organism in Eukaryota, Metazoa, Arthropoda, Insecta, Hymenoptera, Pteromalidae. The transcript has 2 exons. The record is from RefSeq and is a predicted model, not a curated record.